RNAcentral lists this ribosomal RNA (292 nucleotides) under uncultured bacterium. RNAcentral describes it as "partial 16S ribosomal RNA". It matches the Rfam family "Bacterial small subunit ribosomal RNA", at positions 505 to 796 of the family's 1533-position model. The record is from RNAcentral.
GUGCCAGCAGCCGCGGUAAUACGGAGGGUGCGAGCGUUGUCCGGAAUCACUGGGCGUAAAGGGCGCGUAGGCGGCGGGGUAAGCGUGCGGUGAAAGCUCGGGGCUCAACCCCGAGUCGGCCGUGCGAACUGCUUCGCUCGAGCACUGUAGAGGCAGGUGGAAUUCCGGGUGUAGCGGUGGAAUGCGUAGAGAUCCGGAAGAACACCAGUGGCGAAGGCGGCCUGCUGGGCAGUGGCUGACGCUGAGGCGCGACAGCGUGGGGAGCAAACAGGAUUAGAAACCCUAGUAGUCC